CUGGAUGCUGCUUUCUCAGAAAGAGACAUUCAUCAUGUUUGAAAAUGGAGAAACACUUGUUCAACCUCAGGUGUACUACCAAGGAGCUACAACGCAACUCCAAGAAAUGUGAUGUCUGAGGAAAAGAGGAGAAGCUAUCCAGAGGGGCAAUACGGAUGCAGCUAAGAUCCAUGCAGAGAUGGCCAUCCGUCAGAAGCAUCAGUCUCUUAACUUCUUGAGGAUGAGUGCACGUGUGGAUGCUGUGGCUUCUAGGGUCCAGAUUGCCGUCACUAUGA
Cottoperca gobio is the source of this 275-nucleotide long non-coding RNA. RefSeq lists it as uncharacterized. The transcript is spliced from 3 exons. Lineage: Eukaryota; Metazoa; Chordata; Actinopteri; Perciformes; Bovichtidae. The record is from RefSeq and is a predicted model, not a curated record.